This 1990-nucleotide ribosomal RNA is filed under the name Clostridium haemolyticum. RNAcentral describes it as "bacterial LSU rRNA". It matches the Rfam family "Bacterial large subunit ribosomal RNA", at positions 683 to 2684 of the family's 2925-position model. The record is from RNAcentral. Lineage: Bacteria; Bacillati; Bacillota; Clostridia; Eubacteriales; Clostridiaceae.
CUGAAUGGGGCAACUAGUUGUAUAUUGUAGACCCGAAACCGGGUGACCUAUCCAUGGCCAGGAUGAAGCGGAAGUAAAAUUCCGUGGAGGUCCGAACCACGUUGGUGUUGAAAAACCAUGGGAUGAGCUGUGGAUAGCGGAGAAAUUCCAAUCGAACUCGGAGAUAGCUGGUUCUCCUCGAAAUAGCUUUAGGGCUAGCGUCGGGUAAUUGAGUAGUGGAGGUAGAGCACUGAAUGGGCUAGGGGCUGACAACAGUUACUGAACCCUAUCAAACUCCGAAUGCCAUAUACUUGUACCCCGGCAGUCAGACUACGAAUGAUAAGAUCCGUGGUCAAAAGGGAAACAGCCCAGACCAUCAGCUAAGGUCCCAAAGUGUAAGUUAAGUGGGAAAGGAUGUGGGAUUUCUAAGACAACUAGGAUGUUGGCUUAGAAGCAGCCACUCAUUUAAAGAGUGCGUAAUAGCUCACUAGUCGAGAGAUCCUGCGCCGAAGAUGUAACGGGGCUCAAACUUACCACCGAAGCUAUGGAUGUGUACUUUGUACACGUGGUAGAGGAGCUUUCUGUACAGGUUGAAGUCAUACCGUAAGGAGUGGUGGACAGUACAGAAGUGAGAAUGCUGGCAUAAGUAGCGAAAAACAAGUGAGAAUCUUGUUGACCGAAUAUCUAAGGUUUCCUGGGGAAGGCUCGUCCUCCCAGGGUUAGUCGGGACCUAAGCCGAGGCCGAAAGGCGUAGGUGAUGGACAACUGGUUGAUAUUCCAGUACCACCAUAAUGCGUUUGACAAAUGGGAUGACGCAGGAGGAUAGGAUGUGCGCACUAUUGGAUGUGCGUCUAAGCACUUAGGGUGUUAAGUAGGCAAAUCCGCUUAACAUUAAGCCUGAGGUGUGAUGGGGAGCCUAUUUUGGCGAAGUAUCUGAUUCCACGCUGCCAAGAAAAGUCUCUAUGGAGCAAAGUGGUGCCCGUACCGCAAACCGACACAGGUAGAUGAGGAGAGAAUCCUAAGGUCGUCGGAAGAAUUAUUGCUAAGGAACUCGGCAAAUUGACCCCGUAACUUAGGGAGAAGGGGUGCCUACGAGAGUAGGCCGCAGUGAAUAGGCUCAAGCAACUGUUUAUCAAAAACACAGGUCUCUGCUAAAGCGUAAGCUGAUGUAUAGGGGCUGACGCCUGCCCGGUGCUGGAAGGUUAAGGGGAAUAGUUAGCGCAAGCGAAGCUAUGAACUUAAGCCCCAGUAAACGGCGGCCGUAACUAUAACGGUCCUAAGGUAGCGAAAUUCCUUGUCGGGUAAGUUCCGACCCGCACGAAUGGCGUAAUGAUUUGAGCACUGUCUCGGCAAUAAAUCCGGUGAAAUUGUAGUGCAAGUGAAGAUGCUUGCUACCCGCGGUUGGACGGAAAGACCCCGUAGAGCUUUACUGUAGCUUAGCAUUGAAUUUCGGUAUUGUCUGUACAGGAUAGGUGGGAGACUUAGAAGCGAGGGCGUCAGCUUUCGUGGAGUCGUCCUUGGGAUACCACCCUGACAGUACUGGAAUUCUAACUGGAGGCCAUGAAUCUGGUCACAGGACAUUGCUAGGUGGGCAGUUUGACUGGGGCGGUCGCCUCCUAAAAGGUAACGGAGGCGCCCAAAGGUUCCCUCAGCGCGGUCGGAAAUCGCGCGUAGAGUGCAAAGGCAGAAGGGAGCCUGACUGCGACACAUACAGGUGGAGCAGGGACGAAAGUCGGGCUUAGUGAUCCGGUGGUUCUGUAUGGAAGGGCCAUCGCUCAACGGAUAAAAGCUACCUCGGGGAUAACAGGCUGAUCUCCCCCAAGAGUCCACAUCGACGGGGAGGUUUGGCACCUCGAUGUCGGCUCGUCGCAUCCUGGGGCUGUAGUCGGUCCCAAGGGUUGGGCUGUUCGCCCAUUAAAGCGGCACGCGAGCUGGGUUCAGAACGUCGUGAGACAGUUCGGUCCCUAUCCGCCGUGGGCGUAGGAAAUUUGAGAGGAGCUGUCCUUAGUAC